This 72-nucleotide transfer RNA is filed under the name Pelagomonas calceolata. It matches the Rfam family "tRNA". Rfam says of the family: Transfer RNA (tRNA) molecules are approximately 80 nucleotides in length. Their secondary structure includes four short double-helical elements and three loops (D, anti-codon, and T loops). Further hydrogen bonds mediate the characteristic L-shaped molecular structure. tRNAs have two regions of fundamental functional importance: the anti-codon, which is responsible for specific mRNA codon recognition, and the 3' end, to which the tRNAs corresponding amino acid is attached (by aminoacyl-tRNA synthetases). tRNAs cope with the degeneracy of the genetic code in two manners: having more than one tRNA (with a specific anti-codon) for a particular amino acid; and 'wobble' base-pairing, i.e. permitting non-standard base-pairing at the 3rd anti-codon position. The record is from Rfam by way of RNAcentral. Lineage: Eukaryota; Pelagophyceae; Pelagomonadales; Pelagomonadaceae. RNAcentral also lists the same sequence under 4 other names.
UCCUCGAUAGCUCAGUGGUAGAGCAAUCGGCUGUUAACCGAUUGGUCGUAGGUUCAAGUCCUACUCGGGGAG